CCGGCUAACUACGUGCCAGCAGCCGCGGUAAUACGUAGGGCGCAAGCGUUAUCCGGAAUUAUUGGGCGUAAAGAGCUCGUAGGCGGUUUGUCGCGUCUGCUGUGAAAACCCGAGGCUCAACCUCGGGCCUGCAGUGGGUACGGGCAGACUAGAGUGCGGUAGGGGAGAUUGGAAUUCCUGGUGUAGCGGUGGAAUGCGCAGAUAUCAGGAGGAACACCGAUGGCGAAGGCAGAUCUCUGGGCCGUAACUGACGCUGAGGAGCGAAAGGGUGGGGAGCAAACAGGCUUAGAUACCCUGGUAGUCCACCCCGUAAACGUUGGGAACUAGUUGUGGGGUCCAUUCCACGGAUUCCGUGACGCAGCUAACGCAUUAAGUUCCCCGCCUGGGGAGUACGGCCGCAAGGCUAAAACUCAAAGGAAUUGACGGGGACCCGCACAAGCGGCGGAGCAUGCGGAUUAAUUCGAUGCAACGCGAAGAACCUUACCAAGGCUUGACAUAUACGAGAACGGGCCAGAAAUGGUCAACUCUUUGGACACUCGUAAACAGGUGGUGCAUGGUUGUCGUCAGCUCGUGUCGUGAGAUGUUGGGUUAAGUCCCGCAACGAGCGCAACCCUCGUUCUAUGUUGCCAGCACGUAAUGGUGGGAACUCAUGGGAUACUGCCGGGGUCAACUCGGAGGAAGGUGGGGAUGACGUCAAAUCAUCAUGCCCCUUAUGUCUUGGGCUUCACGCAUGCUACAAUGGCCGGUACAAAGGGCUGCAAUACCGCAAGGUGGAGCGAAUCCCAAAAAGCCGGUCCCAGUUCGGAUUGAGGUCUGCAACUCGACCUCAUGAAGUCGGAGUCGCUAGUAAUCGCAGAUCAGCAACGCUGCGGUGAAUACGUUCCCGGGUCUUGUACACACCGCCCGUCAAGUCAUGAAAGUCGGUAACACCUGAAGCCGGUGGCCCAACCCUUGUGGAGGGAGCCGUCGAAG
Molecule: ribosomal RNA, 972 nt
Filed under: Microbacterium sp.
Lineage: Bacteria; Bacillati; Actinomycetota; Actinomycetes; Micrococcales; Microbacteriaceae
Description: bacterial SSU rRNA
Rfam family: Bacterial small subunit ribosomal RNA
Source: RNAcentral